AACGUAGGACACAAGCGUUAUCCGGAAUUAUUGGGCGUAAAGCGCGCGCAGGCGGUCCUUUAAGUCUGAUGUGAAAGCCCACGGCUCAACCGUGGAGGGUCAUUGGAAACUGGGGGACUUGAGUACAGAAGAGAAGAGUGGAAUUCCACGUGUAGCGGUGAAAUGCGUAGAGAUGUGGAGGAACACCAGUGGCGAAGGCGACUCUUUGGUCUGUAACUGACGCUGAGGCGCGAAAGCGUGGUGAGCAAACAGG
This 253-nucleotide ribosomal RNA is filed under the name uncultured bacterium. Its description in RNAcentral is "partial 16S ribosomal RNA". It matches the Rfam family "Bacterial small subunit ribosomal RNA", at positions 524 to 776 of the family's 1533-position model. The record is from RNAcentral.